GAUAAGGUUAAGUGAAUAAGGGCGCACGGUGGAUGCCUUGGCACUAGGAGCCGAUGAAGGACGGGACUAACACCGAUAUGCUUUGGGGAGCUGUACGUAAGCUAUGAUCCAGAGAUUUCCGAAUGGGGGAACCCAACAUCUUUAAUAGGAUGUUACGAUUGUGUGAAUACAUAGCACAUUCGAGGUAGACGCAGAGAACUGAAACAUCUAAGUACCUGCAGGAAGAGAAAGAAAAUUCGAUUCCCUGAGUAGCGGCGAGCGAAACGGGAAAAGCCCAAACCAACAAGCUUGCUUGUUGGGGUUGUAGGACUCCAAUAUGGUCGUUCUUUCAGAUAGUCGAAUGACUUGGAAAAGUCAGUCAAAGAGGGUAAAAACCCCGUAGACGAAAUGUGGAAGACACCUAGGAGGAUCCUGAGUACGGCGGAACACGAGAAAUUCCGUCGGAAUCCGGGAGGACCAUCUCCCAAGGCUAAAUACUCCCUAGUGACCGAUAGUGAACCAGUACCGUGAGGGAAAGGUGAAAAGCACCCCGGAAGGGGAGUGAAAUAGAACCUGAAACCGUGUGCCUACAACAAGUCAAAGCCCGUUAAUGGGUGAUGGCGUGCCUUUUGUAGAAUGAACCGGCGAGUUACGAUUGCAUGCGAGGU
RNAcentral lists this ribosomal RNA (647 nucleotides) under Enterococcus faecium. RNAcentral's name for it is "partial 23S ribosomal RNA". It matches the Rfam family "Bacterial large subunit ribosomal RNA", at positions 1 to 646 of the family's 2925-position model. Lineage: Bacteria; Bacillati; Bacillota; Bacilli; Lactobacillales; Enterococcaceae. The record is from RNAcentral.